Callithrix jacchus (white-tufted-ear marmoset) is the source of this 15065-nucleotide non-coding RNA. NCBI's taxonomy places the organism in Eukaryota, Metazoa, Chordata, Mammalia, Primates, Cebidae. The record is from RefSeq and is a predicted model, not a curated record.
AGGGCGGCCGCUCCGGGUAUCGCGAGAGUUCGGCGGGCCGAGCAAUCGCAGCAGUCUAUACCCCGACUCUCCCCGGAGGAGCCACCGGCCCUGGACUCUCCAAAUUCUGAGCUCUCAUCAUGGCGGCGGCGGCCGCGGCUGCCGUCGGUGGCCAACAGCCGUCUCAGUCCGAGCUGGCCGCGUCGGGACUGGCCCUAGACAAGGCGGCCACCGCCGCGCACCUCAAGGCGGCCCUCAGCCGGCCAGACAACCGCGCAGGUGCUGAGGAGCUGCAGGCGCUGCUGGAGCGAGUGCUCAGCGCCGAGCGGCCGCUGGCCGCUGCUGCGGGAGGCGAGGACGCGGCGGCGGCCGGAGGCGGGGGUGGUCCGGGGGCGGCCGAAGAGGAGGCCUUGGAGUGGUGUAAGUGCCUUCUGGCAGGUGGCGGCGGUUACGACGAGUUCUGCGCGGCGGUGCGGGCCUACGAUCCCGCGGCGCUCUGCGGCCUGGUCUGGACAGCCAACUUCGUGGCCUACCGCUGCCGGACGUGCGGCAUCUCGCCCUGCAUGUCGCUGUGCGCCGAGUGCUUCCACCAGGGCGACCACACCGGACACGACUUCAACAUGUUCCGCAGCCAGGCCGGGGGCGCCUGCGACUGCGGGGACAGCAACGUGAUGCGGGAGAGCGGGUUUUGCAAAAGGCAUCAAAUUAAAUCAAGUUCAAAUAUUCCCUGUGUCCCUAAAGACUUACUGAUGAUGUCUGAAUUUGUUCUUCCAAGAUUUAUUUUUUGUCUUAUUCAGUACUUAAGAGAAGGCUAUAAUGAACCAGCAGCUGAUGGACCAUCAGAAAAGGACCUUAACAAAGUCCUUCAGCUUUUGGAACCUCAAAUUUCCUUUUUAGAAGACCUAACUAAAAUGGGAGGAGCAAUGCGGUCUGUUCUUACUCAGGUUUUGACAAACCAGCAAAAUUACAAAGAUCUAACUUCUGGUCUUGGGGAAAAUGCUUGUGCAAAGAAAAGUCAUGAAAAGUACCUUAUAGCUUUGAAGAGCUCUGGACUUACAUAUCCUGAGGAUAAGCUUGUAUAUGGUGUGCAGGAACCAUCUGCUGGUACUAGUUCUCUGGCAGUUCAAGGUUUUGUAGGUGCAACAGGAACUUUGGGACAAGUAGAUUCUUCAGAUGAGGAUGAUCAGGAUGGUAGUCAAGGUCUGGGCAAGAGAAAGAGGGUAAAACUAAGCAGUGGUACCAAAGAUCAAUCCAUAAUGGAUGUUUUGAAACAUAAAAGCUUCCUAGAAGAACUAUUGUUUUGGACUAUAAAAUAUGAAUUCCCCCAAAAGAUGGUAACUUUCUUACUCAACAUGCUUCCAGAUCAAGAGUAUAAGGUUGCUUUUACAAAAACUUUUGUUCAGCAUUAUGCUUUCAUUAUGAAAACACUGAAGAAAAGUCAUGAAUCAGACACAAUGUCUAACAGAAUUGUGCAUAUUAGUGUUCAGUUGUUCAGCAAUGAGGAGCUAGCCAGACAGGUAACAGAAGAAUGUCAGCUGCUGGAUAUUAUGGUCACUGUGCUAUUAUACAUGAUGGAAAGUUGCCUUAUUAAAAGUGAGCUACAAGAUGAAGAAAAUAGUUUACAUGUGGUAGUGAACUGUGGAGAAGCAUUACUGAAGAAUAACACUUACUGGCCUCUUGUUAGUGAUUUUAUUAAUAUUCUUUCUCAUCAAAGUGUGGCAAAGAGAUUUUUGGAGGAUCAUGGUUUGUUAGUUACAUGGAUGAACUUUGUAUCUUUCUUUCAAGGUAUGAACUUAAACAAGCGAGAACUAAAUGAACAUGUGGAAUUUGAGUCUCAGACCUACUAUGCUGCCUUUGCUGCUGAACUUGAGGCCUGUGCACAGCCAAUGUGGGGACUCUUAUCACAUUGUAAAGUUAGGGAAACUCAAGAAUAUACCCGAAAUGUUGUUAGAUAUUGCCUUGAAGCUCUUCAAGAUUGGUUUGAUGCUAUUAACUUCGUAGAUGAGCCAGCACCUAACCAAGUCACUUUUCAUCUGCCACUACAUCGUUACUAUGCUAUGUUUUUGAGUAAGGCUGUGAAAUGUCAAGAACUAGAUUUGGAUUCUGUUUUACCAGAUCAGGAAAUGUUAAUGAAACUAAUGAUUCACCCACUCCAAAUUCAGGCAAGUCUUGCUGAAAUCCACAGCAAUAUGUGGGUAAGAAAUGGUCUGCAAAUCAAAGGACAAGCCAUGACCUAUGUCCAGUCUCAUUUCUGUAAUUCCAUGAUUGAUCCUGACAUUUACCUGUUACAGGUUUGUGCUUCUAGACUUGACCCAGAUUAUUUUAUUUCAUCCGUCUUUGAAAGAUUUAAGGUAGUGGAUUUGUUGACAAUGGCAUCACAACAUCAAAAUACAGUACUUGAUGCAGAGCAUGAGAGAUCGAUGUUAGAAGGCGCUCUUACAUUUCUUGUGAUUCUUUUGAGUCUUCGUUUACAUUUAGGAAUGUCUGAUGAUGAAAUUCUCAGGGCAGAGAUGGUAGCCCAGCUGUGUAUGAAUGACAGGACACACAGUUCUUUGCUGGACCUCAUUCCAGAAAAUCCUAAUCCCAAAAGUGGCAUUAUUCCAGGCAGUUACAGCUUUGAAUCAGUUUUAUCAGCUGUAGCUGAUUUUAAGGCUCCUGUUUUUGAACCUGGAGGUUCUAUGCAACAAGGCAUGUAUACUCCCAAAGCUGAAGUCUGGGAUCAGGAGUUUGACCCCGUCAUGGUCAUUCUUCGAACAGUUUACCGUAGAGAUGUGCAGUCUGCAAUGGACAGAUACACUGCAUUUUUAAAACAGAGUGGAAAAUUUCCUGGAAACCCGUGGCCUCCCUAUAAGAAAAGGACAUCACUUCAUCCUAGCUAUAAAGGUCUCAUGAGACUUUUACACUGUAAAACUUUACACAUUGUGCUAUUCACUCUGCUUUACAAGAUUUUGAUGGAUCAUCAAAAUCUGUCAGAACAUGUACUCUGCAUGGUUUUAUAUCUGAUUGAAUUAGGACUCGAAAAUUCUGCUGAUGAAGAAUCAGAUGAAGAGGCAUCAGUGGGUGGACCAGAACGUUGUCAUGACAGUUGGUUUCCUGGCAGUAACUUAGUGUCAAACAUGCGACACUUUAUAAACUAUGUUAGAGUAAGAGUUCCAGAGACUGCUCCUGAAGUGAAGAGAGACUCACCUGCAAGUACUAGCUCUGAUAACUUGGGUUCUUUACAUAAUUCACGACGGCCUAAAGUUCUUCAAAGAGAGAAUUCUGGUACAGCUCAAGUUUUCAGUUUAGUAGCAGAACGUAGAAAGAAGUUUCAGGAAAUCAUCAAUCGCAGUAGCAGUGAAGCGAAUCAGGUGGUUCGUCCCAAAACUUCAAAUAAGUGGUCUGCUCCUGGCUCAGCUCCACAGUUAACUACAGCCAUUUUGGAAAUUAAAGAAAGCAUAUUGUCUUUGCUAAUUAAACUUCACCACAAACUCUCAGGAAAACAAAACUCCUACUAUCCUCCUUGGCUUGAUGACAUAGAAAUUUUAAUCCAACCAGAAAUUCCUAAAUACAGUCAUGGAGAUGGUAUAACUGCAGUGGAAAGAAUUUUAUUAAAAGCUGCAUCUCAAAGUAGAAUGAACAAACGCAUCAUUGAAGAGAUAUGUAGAAAAGUGACCCCUCCUGUACCACCUAAAAAAGUCACCGCAGCAGAGAAGAAAACUUUGGACAAGGAAGAAAGGCGACAAAAGGCUAGAGAGAGGCAGCAGAAAUUGCUUGCAGAAUUUGCUUCACGACAGAAAAGCUUUAUGGAAACUGCAAUGGAUGUUGAUUCUCCUGAGAAUGACAUCCCUAUGGACAUCACCACGGCAGAACCACAGGUUUCCGAGGCAGUAUAUGACUGUGUUAUUUGUGGACAAAGUGGCCCCUCCUCUGAAGACCGACCUACCGGAUUAGUUGUACUAUUACAAGCAUCCUCAGUUUUGGGACAGUGCCGUGACAAUGUUGAGCCAAAAAAAUUGCCGAUCACUGAAGAGGAGCAGAUUUACCCUUGGGAUACAUGUGCAGCUGUUCAUGACGUGAGGCUUUCGUUAUUACAGCGUUAUUUUAAGGAUAGUUCGUGUCUCUUGGCAGUAUCAAUUGGCUGGGAAGGAGGUGUUUUUGUACAAACCUGUGGUCACACAUUACAUAUAGAUUGUCAUAAAUCUUACAUGGAAUCAUUACGGAAUGACCAGGUUCUUCAGGGCUUCUCAGUGGACAAAGGAGAAUUCACGUGUCCCCUCUGUAGGCAGUUUGCUAACAGUGUUCUUCCUUGUUAUCCUGGAAGCAAUGUGGAAAAUAACCUUUGGCAACGUCCUAGCAACAAAAGCAUACACGAUCUCAUAAAGGAAGUGGAGGAGCUGCAGGGACGACCGGGAGCUUUCCCAGUAAGCAUCAGUUCAGAAACAAACUUAAGUAAAGAAAUGGAAUCUGUAAUGAAAGAUAUAAAAAAUACCACUCAGAAGAAAUAUAGAGACUAUAGCAAGACCCCGGGCUCACCAGACAAUGAUUUUCUCUUUAUGUACUCUGUUGCUAGAACCAAUUUGGAGCUUGAAUUGAUUCAUCGAGGAGGCAAUUUGUGUUCAGGUGGUGCAAGCACAGCUGGCAAAAGGUCUUGUUUAAAAAAGGAAUCUGAAGUUCAGAGUGAUUGCCUUGCCAAGUCACACAGCUGGAGAAUGGCAGAGCUUGCACUUGUGUCCAAAUCUUCUGACUCUAAAUUCAGUUAUGUAAGACUUAUCUCCUGCCCUUAAGUCUCCCAAAGGUUGCAGAAUUUUUAAGACAUUUUACCCAUUGGUUUAGUCAAAGACACUACUAUACAAUGUUGCCUUGGAUCUUUCUAGGCCCUGCUGUGCUAACUCUCCUGUUUAUCUUGUCUGUUUUCUUUUGUUAGCCUUUCACUGUCAAUUCUUUGUUUUUGUUUUUGUUUUGAGCCACCUUUUCAGACAUUUUUGCGAGUCCUGAGUCCUUCUGCCCUGGAUACCAGUUAGUUCUCCUUUAUUCUUUGCCAGUUUGCUUGCUGGUUCCCCUUGCUCUUGCUAUGAGUCAUGUGUGUUAGCUCUCAUGUAUAGCACAGCUGUCGAUUCCUGUGUCAGAGCUCUAGAACUCCUCCUUACACACCAGGGAAGGUCAGGCAUUUCAGACCUUGUAUUCAGGAGAUGAUACUGGUUUUAGAGACUGGUACUCAUCUGCUGGGCUUGUAUUCAGCAGAUGAGACUUGUUCAAAAUCCAUGUCCACCAAAAGCUUUAUUCAUUCCAGUAGUGAAUUUCUUAGAACUUACAACUUUGGUAGACAUGGCAUUUGAACAAGACUUUGAAAGGUAAGUGAGGUUUAGAGAGUUUUUGUUACAAGUUGGUAUAUACACUACAUAUCACCAACUUGGUUAGCAACAUUUGUAGGAUAAAGCAGAUGUAAAACUUAAAGGCAUAGCUUAUUAAGAAGAGUAUUUAAGCUUACUGUAUUUCUUCAUUUAAGUGAUUUGAAAAUAAAUAUGACAGUAUAAAUUCUAGUGAAGUUCAUAUGCUUUCAACACAUUUUUGGCAUGAUAUUCUCAGUAUAUUUCUCAAGUUGACAUUUUCAUUUGGGAAAUUCUGACUUAAUUUUAUAUAAUCUAUGAUCUUAUCAAGAAAUUAUGCAUAGUCAUUGCAGUAAAUAGUUUCUACCAGAAUUUGCUAUUCAUAGCAAGCAACCCAGCUUAGAUCUGUGCAGGCAACUUGAAAUAUUUCUACUUGCUCAAAGAGUGAAUUUUUAGUGAAUUUAAAAUUACAGAAAAUUAGGCCAGGUGUGGUGGCUAACUCCUGUGAUCCUAGGAUUUUGGAAAGCCAAGGUGGGGAGGAUUGCUUGAGUCCAGAAGUUGUUAACAGCCUGGGCAACAUAGGGAGAACCUCAUCUCUAAAAAGAAAAAAAAAUUAGGUGGGUGCGGUGGCAUGCACCUGUGGUCCCUGCUACUCAGGAGACUGAGGUGGGAGGAUUGCUUAAGCCCAGAUGGUGGAGGCUGCAGUAAGCCAUGAUUGUGCCAUUGCAUUACAGCCUGGGUGACAGAGCAAGAUGCUGUCUCAAAAAUUAUAGAAAAUUAUUUUGACAUUAAUUCCUUCCUGCAGUUAUGUAGCAUAAAGAUGUUGUUAAACAAGGAAUGAGUUUUUACAAAAUUACUCAUUUCUUUUUGAGAGACAGGGUCUUUCUUUGUCUGUCAUUCAGGCUGGAGUGCAGUGGCACAAUCAUAAUUCACAGCAGCAUUGAACUCCUGGGCUCAAGCAUUCCUCCCACCUCAGCCUCCCGAGUAGCUGGGACAGCAGACACACACCAUCAUGCCCAACUAAUUUUUUAAUAUAUUUUUUUGUUGAGAUGGGGUCUUGCCAUGUCGACCAGGCUGGUCUCAAGUUUUUGGCCUCAAGCAGUCCUCCUACCUUGUCCUCCCAAAAUGCUGGGAUUGUAGGCAUGAACCACUAUGCUGGCCUAAAAUUACUCUUAAGUAGUCUGACCUUAUUCUUUAACAGUUAGUGAUAAAGUUCUGACAUUGAUGGCCUUUAAAGGCCUUUUUCAAAUUUAAAAAUAUCAAUUUCUGCAAACAGAUUGAAUCACAAUUUUAUUUUUUUCUUACAUUGAAAAAGGAGGAAAAUUUGACCAUCAAAUUAUUAUAAUGAUCGAAAGGUAUAAGUUAAUAGAAAAAUGCGUAAAUUGUUUCCGGAGACUAGUUAUUGAUCAGAUUUGAUGGCUAAAGCUGAUUUUGUGGUAUUUGGGAAUGUUUCAUGUUCUGAAGAGCGAGUUGGUGUAUAUUUAGGGCCAACAUGAAAGAUGGAUAUAUGGUGGAAUCGACAACAGCAAACUAGGAGUCAUGGGCAUCUGCUUAGGCAAGACAUUUUAUGUUUUUGGCUUCAGUUUCCUAGUCUAUAAAAUUAGUGUGUUAGACAGGAUGAUCUAUGUCCUGAAAGAAGUUCAUGGUUGUUAACCCUGUUAUAUGCAGAGCUCACAUCUGGAGCUUUUCCCCCCUGUUAAUUAACAUCAUUAACAUUAAGCAUAAAAGGCAAAUAGCUGGACUAGGAGUUAUACUCUAGCAACUUUAGAAUUCAUACUUUAUCUACAGUCAUAUACUAUAGAAUAAAUUAAGGCUUGGAGUUUUGUUCUUUUGACCCAUCUUGCAAAUUCAGAAGAUUUUGGUAUUGUCUAUUUUAUUUUGCUCUUCAUUUCAAGUCGUGCAUAAAUUAAAAAUGGAGGCUGUCAAUGAAAUCAUAUAAUAAAUAGAAUCAGAAUCUUUGUGCUAAAAGUUACUUAGGAAAUCACCUAGUCUAAAUGUUAUCUAGCUCAGGCAUCUCUUACCUACUAUUCCAAUCAUUUGCUCUCUCUGCUUGAACACUUUCAGCGAUAAGGAGUACUUGUUGGGAUAGGUGAGGAGUUUGAUAAGGAUGGUGAUAUUAAACGGCAGCAUAGUGUAAACUAGAGAGUGAGAUUCUGUUCCUCAUAAUAGUCAAUCAGAGGAUUGUUAUAAGAAUUCAGUUUUAUAAUAUAUCAGUUUCUGCAUUUUGUAAAUCUCAACAUUACUAUUUCUCCUAUUUCAACACUAUAGUUGUCAAAUUUUGGGGGUGUGGAUAAGAAGAAGGAGCAAGAUAACACUUAACUUUUAGCUCAAUUUUUGUCCUAGUUUAUAACUAUAUACUAUAGACCAGGUGGCUUAUAUACAACAAAAAUGUAUAACUCACAGAUCUGGAGGCUGGGAAGUCUAAGAUCAAGGUUCCAGCAGAUUUGGUGUCUGGUUAGGACCUGCUUGCUUCCUCAUACAUACUUGUCUUCUCACUGUAACCUCACAUGGUGGAUAAGGCAAAAGAUCUUUUUGGGAUCUCUCUCUCUCUCUCUUUUUUUUUUAAGAGCACUAAUUUCAUUCACAAGGGCUUCCUCAUGAUCUAAUCACUUUCCAAAGGACCCACCUCCUUAUGCUAUCACCUUGGGAUUAGGACUUCAAUUUAGGAAUUUUGGUGGGACAUACACAUUCAGUCCAUUGCAGUUUUUUUAAGGGACUUAACAAACAUUCUUUUGACCUGUUCAGAGGUGAGAUUAGGAGGACAGAAGGGGAUUUAUCUCCAUGAUAAAGUUUAUCUGUUGAGAACAAAUAUAUUGUUAAUUUGGAAAGGAUUAGAAUGUGGCAUGAAAAUUUAAGUUAGAGGCGUGGCUUUAACUUUUCUUUAAGUCUUUCUGAAAGUCCCAUGAUUUGUGACUCAAGUAGCCAGGCCUUUCUGUAUUUAUAAUUUGGGCAUUCCAGGAACUAAGUACCAUAGAUAGUAAUUUUCAGUAUCAGGACAUAGGGUUCUUUGGGUCUUACUUGGCUUAGGGUAAGGCAACUCCUUUCUUGUGCAGUUAAAUGGGACAAACCCUAUUCCCAUUUUAAAUGAGGUGUUUAAAUAAGACCUGGAUUCAUGGAAUGUGACUCUUUGGUCAGGAGGAAAUUAGGAGUCCUAAUAACUGACUUCUCUCUUCCCCUUCCUAGGACUACCCAUAUGCAGAAGCACAAUUAUACCUCUCCCUGCCUGUUAUCAUUCCAAGCUGUGUUAUAAAGGGAAAAAGGGAGGCUUUUAGUCACUUACAUCUUACAGUAGAAGGUGAACAAUUUGAUGAAGCUAAUAGAAGGUGAACAAUUUGAUGAAGCUAAUAAUAAUACUUGUGGAUACUUGAGGUAACCAGAGAAUACUGGCAUAGUGUGCCUGGGAGUGGAGGAAUAGGAAUUCUGGGAGGCAAGAGAGGAACAUAGCAUGGAAAGCAUGAAAGUACUAAAAACAGCCUUUUUCUGCACUGUCUUCCCUUCCUCAUGUGGCAGAAAAACUUCUCCAAAGGAAGCAACACUUCCCCACUCUAUUCCAAAACUCAUGUGUCCUUGUUGACUAGUGACAACAUAGCAUACAGUACUGGAAAGAACACUGGGUUGGAGUUUGAAGAUGUGGACUCUAGUCUAUUUGUUAGCUGUUGGGCUUCAGGAAACUAACGUAACUUUUUACCUCAUUGUGGAUGUGAGGAUGAUGGUACUUACUCUGACUAUCUGAUAUAUCCAUCAUAGUUAAUGUAAUGAUCAAAUAGUGUUAGAUAUAUGAACUAAAGUAUCUUACAUAAUAUGUUAAUAAUUAUUAAACUUGUCUUUUAACCCUUUAAAAUUCUACCAUAACUGCCACUUGAUUCUCUGCCCUGGCUUGCCUGGAGUUCUUAGGAAUGGGAUAGGGAGACAUGAGUCAGCUCCUGUCAUCCAUGGCAUCAACCUUCUGUCUCUUGGGAACCAGACCUACAGAUGUUCCCUUCUUCUUGGACCUAUUCCCAGACCUCAUUUAAGGAGCUCUUUUUUUUUUUGAGACGGAGUUUCGCUCUUGUUACCCAGGCUGGAGUGCAAUGGUGCGAUCUCAGCUCACCGCAACCUCCGCCUCCUGGGUUCAGGCAAUUCUCCUGCCUCAGCCUCCAGAGUAGCUGGGAUUACAGGCACGUGCCACCGUGCCCAGCUAAUUUUUUGUAAUUUUAGAAGAGAUGGGGUUUCACCAUGUUGACCAGGAUGGUCUCGAUCUGUUGACCUCGUGAUCCACCCGCCUCGGCCUCCCAAAGUGCUGGGAUUACAGGCUUGAGCCACGCACCCGGCCAGGAGCUCUUUACCAUCUUUUCAUGGCUGCUUUCUUAGGGAUGUACACAGGAAUCAGUGGAAGCUGGCUUUGCUGUGAGAGGUGUAUACUCACAUCUGUUACAUUCACCUUAGGAUAAGUAGGUCAGAAUAAUUUCCUCACUUUGAUUAUUCAGUUGCAGAGAAAGGGAGAUCCCCCCCCACCUCCCAUAAUAUUUCAGAGAAUCAUUUGGCUAGUUGAGAUUUUUUUUUUUUUUUUUAAGGGACAGGGUCUUGCCUUGUUACCCACCCUGGCCCCAAAUUCCUGGGCUCAAAUAAUUCUCCCACCUCAGCCUUCUGAGUGGCUGGGACUACAGGUAUGUGCCACUUUGGCUGAGAUUUUUUUUCAUUGACAGUGAUUUAAUCACUGAUGACCAGACUGAUAAGACUGAAAUCUUGAAUACAGACCCAGUUAAGUUUACCUUAGGUGCAUUUUAACAGUGGUACAAUUUAAGAUAGAACCAAUUUAUGAAAGUCUUUAGGAUAACGCUUUAAUAUGUAUUUAUAUCUUAAUGAUCAAUAUGAGUAUAGUAAGAAAUAACCUACCAGUUUUAGAUUUCUUGCAUGUUUAGAAAUAACUGACAGAGGCACACAAUUUCCAGGAUAGUGCUGGAACAUUUGUUUCAAAAGCAUUUUUGAAAGAUUUUUAACAUGAUAAUGUUGGUUUUCCUUUCUUUAAGUGGAUAUUCCUAAGGCCAUAAACAUUGGCAUAAUUUUGUGUGUGUGUGUUAUUCAUAUAUAUACAUCUGAAACUCAAUUAUAUAAUAAGUUUGGAGUUAUAUUUUUAUUUUACGUUUUUUGUUUUUUUUUUUUUUUGGUAAAAUAGUCUUACCUAAGUGUUGACAAAGUUAGAAGGAUUUCUUAAACCUUAUUGGUUCUAGCUAGUACUUAUAAUUAAAUCUUAGAUUUUCUUAAGGACAAACUGGUCUUUCAGUGUUGUUUUCUCAGUUUCAAUAAUGAUGUGUCUGUCUGUGAUUAAGCACAUUUUAAUUCUUUAGACUUGUCACAGUUGUAAAGAAUUUGAUUGGAUAUUACAGAAAAUAGAAUUCUUUAUCCCAGGUGAGUUGUCACAUGGGAACCAGCAUGGGAAGAAGAUGGUAGGAGCAAGUAGGUCAAGUAGUGCUUUAGUACUUAGAGUUGAGAGGUCAGUCUCUUUUGGGGAAGUGAAAGUAGGGCUGAUUAAUUGGCCUACUUCUUGGUAACUGAACCAAUGUGUCAUUGUGACAGAAAGGGAAGAGUAGAAAACCAUCAUGAAUUUUAUGCUUAUAUUUGUGAUUUUUUCUUAGAAUUAUAUAGUGUUUAGCCUAUUUUUUAAAAUCCUAUUAUAUGUUAUGCACUUGUGCUAGCCUAGGAGGUACGAAAAUGUAAAGAUACAAUUGUCUUCUUUAGGGGGAUCUGACCAUCUAAUAGGAGAAGAAAAUGUGAAAAAUAAUUACAAGACUAUGUAAGAGAUGCUGAAAUAGAAAUAGAUAGCACAAGGUACAGAGAAUGUAUAAAGUAAGGAGAUAAUUGAUUUUUCUGUGAUAUCACAGAAAACCUUACAGAGCAGCACAUGAACUGGCUCUUGAAAGAUGAAUUGAGUUGGCCUGAAGGACAAAACAAUGCUUUUCUAGGCUAAGGGAACAGCUUUCAAAGACAUGAGACAACAUGACACAUUGGGGAAUACUUAAAAAGAAAGGAAGGAAAGUUAAGAAAUAAACCUGAAAAAUAAGAUGGACUAGCUUAUCAAGGGCUUUCUAUUCCUGUUCCUUCAGUGGAUCACCAGUCAGUUUUGAGAUAAUGUGAACAGAUUUAUUGAUUAGAGAAGUUGGAAGGAGUGAAACAAAAGACAUACAGCUGAGUGAGCAUUCUGUUGAGCAAUUUAGGUCAAAAACACUAUAGUGGCAGAGUGGACCAGAAUAGGUUGGAUUAUAAGAGGUAGAACCAGUAGGAUUGGUAAUUAAUUGGAUAUGGAGGCCAAGGCUGUGGGAGAAGACUCCCAAAUGUUUCCUUGGAUGUUUGCAUGAGUAGUGGUGUCAUUGACCCAAAUAGGAAUUAUAAAAGGAAAUUAACAUUGGAGCUGGGAUGGGCUGUAUAAUCAGGUUAGUCUGGAUAUACUGAUUUUUGAGGUGCAUGUUGAACAUCUUAAGUACUAGAGAGCCUUGUGAAUUGUUAACUUACAGGUAGAAGUGGGCUUGGGUAAAGAAGUGUGUUCAGAAUGAGAGGGAAAGAGGACUAAGAAUGUGACCUUUUAGGGUUCAUUAUCGAAGAAGAGCACAUAAAAGUAACUGAGAAGGAACCAGAGGAAAGCCAGGAGAGAGUGAUACCAAAAAUUAAGGAAAGAGGAGAGAAGAGAGUUAGGAAUGCAUGUUAAUAUAUGUUUGUAGAGUGGUGGUUUUAUGUGGCUACCUUAUGUAUCCAAUGUAUAAUAAUCUCUAAUUUCAGUUGUAAAGUUUAUAAAUAUUAAAUUGAUUUCAUAUUCAUAGCAGCCAUGUAUUUAUCUGCCUGAAAGCCCAACUUACACACAUACUAGAGAUUCAUGCUAUGACUGUAACUACUAUUACUAUAUACUAGACCAGAAAGGUGGUUUUAUAUUUAUUUUACAGACCAUAAAACUAAGUUUAGGUAAUUUGUGUAAGGACACAUGGCUAGUACAGACUUGGAUUCAAUCUAAGACUUUCUGACCCCUCGUGGUGCCUCUACAUAGGUUGAAAUCACAGCACACUUAUAAAUGAAUUUAAAGGUAUUUCUCAUUUCCAAACCUUUUUAUAUAUGUGGAUCAAACUUUAGAAUUUAAAAAUGUGUUAUACUAGAAAAGGAGAUAAUUAUUCUUUUUUGCUAUUGUUAGUCCAAAAUUUAAUAAUAUGCUUUUUUGUUAUAAUUAUUUUUUCAACUUUUAAAGUGUCAUGCAUGCAGUUGGUAGUUUUUUUUGAGACAGAGUUUCGCUCUUGUUACCCAGGCUGGAGUGCAAUGGCGCGAUCUCGGCUCACCACAACCUCCGCCUCCUGGGUUCAGACAAUUCUCCUGCCUCAGCCUCCUGAGUAGCUGGGAUUACAGGCACGCGCCACCAUGCUCAGCUAAUUUUUUGUAUUUUUAGUAGAGACGGGGUUUCACCAUGUUGACCAGGAUGGUCUCAAUCUCUUGACCUCGUGAUCCACCCGCCUCGGCCUCCCAAAGUGCUGGGAUUACAGGCGUGAGCCACCGCACCCGACCCAGUUGGUAGUUAAGACAUUUUUUAGUUUUUGACUUUUUGAUUAUGAUCAUAGAAUCUCCCCAUCCUACAUCUUUAAUAUUUGUCUGGUAUAAGAGGUGUUUUUGCUGCUAAAUGAAUAUUAGAGUUCAUUCUUACUGAUAAGACUAAAUUUUGAAAAAAAUUAAUAAUAAUGAAUUGUAUCAAUAAAUUGAAGUUAUUAAUGGUUAUUUGGUCAGUUCUGUGAGUAAGAGAGAGAGAGAGAGAGAGGGAGGGAUGGAGGAGAAGGAAUCCUGUACUUGUAUUUAAUCAUAAAAACCCCAAGAAAUAACUAAGAAGUGGCAAAUCUUGGAUCCUACUCUUAGCUUUUAGAAUAACUAUCAAGAGUGAACUGGCAAGGUACUUCCUUUCUCUGGGCCGAUUUUCUCAUCUAUAGAAUGAGGAAAUUAUGAAAAACUUUCCUUCUAACUUUCUGAAAUUCUUAUAUUUUGAUAGGGAUUAGAAAAAUAGGUGAAUGUAACGUUAUUUUCUGUGCUGGAUGUGGUUUCAAUGCAAAACAGGUUAGUACAAUUGCAACUUCUACGUUUUUGAUUAAAUUAGGGAAACUAAGAUAUCCACCUUCAUUUUGGUAGGAGAUAUUAAAAUGAGCCCUUUGAUCAAGUUAAUACCUAUAUAAAAAGAAUUCAGAACUCCUCACUGUGCAACUUGGGAUAAUAUUUUUUCUGUGAGAAGAAUUUAGUUUUUUAAAACAUUUUUAGGUUUUAGUCAUUAAAACACUCCUUAAAAGUAUAAAUUAUAUGCUUAAUAAUCUCUUAUGUAUAAUUGAAUUGAAAUAAAAGAAAAUUUACCAGUCUCUAGUCAUGUUUUUCCUCUGCUAAAACUUGCCUUGUUCUCAGUAUCAUCUACGAAACCAGGUUACUAGAAAAACUGGAAAUUUGAGAAACUUACUUGUCUCAAAAGUGGGGUUAAUAAUAUUACCCACCUAGUAGAAUUUUUGUGAAAAUUAAUGGAUGUUAUCAAUCAAUGUAGCAUUAUGGCUGGCACAUAAUAAGUAACUAGUCAUUAAUCGAAUGAAAAAAUUUAAGGAAGAUUUAGGCUAUACAUAGACUUACAAAUAGGAGAUGAAACAGGGUAAGGUAUUUAGAUUCUUCUGUUUGUUAUAGAGAGAUCAGAUUGAAAUUUACAAAAACGUAUUUUCUUUAUCCUGCCCCACGAGUAGAACAUUUAUUUUACUCAGAUUGUAGCUCUCAUAUAUAAAAAUUUAUUUAUUUUUUGUGGUGAGAAGGAGUUUCAUUCUUGUUGUCUAGGCUGGAGUGCGAUGGUGUGGUCUCAGCUCACUGCAACCUCUUCAUGGUGAUUCUUCUGCCACCAUGUCUGGCUAAUUUUUAUGUUUUUAGUAGAGAUGGGGUUUCAUUGUAUUGGUCAGGCUGAUCUCAAACUCCUGACCUUAGGUGAUCCGCUCACCUCAGCCUCCCAAAGUGCUUGGAUUAUAGGCAUGAGCCACUGUGCCUGGCCAGCAGCUCUCAUAUGUUUCAUAACAGCUUCACAAAACUGUACACGUACACACAUACAUGCAUACACACAUGCAUACCCCCUAUUACACCCUUUAUGUUGAUGGAUCUUGAGUAAGUUUACGUAAAAUACAAUUUCUAGGUCUGCUGGCUCAGAACAACAAAAUCUGGUCUAGUUUUAAUUAGAAAAUAAGUAACAAUAAUUAGUUCGUGUCAUUCAGUUAACUUUCUUCCUAGAUUUAAGAAUUAAUUUCAAAAAUCGGUUAAGAAGUAUCAUAUUAUCUGACUUUCUAAAAUAUGACGUUUGAUUUCUAAAUAUCUUUGAGUAUGUGUAGCAGAAUAAUUUAACCAAAUUCUUGUCAUUGAUACCAAAAAAAGAAGGGGUACAUCAGAUACAAAAGCCAUACUUAGGGUAUUUUUUUCAAAAUAAUUUUAAACAAGGUAUUUUCUUCUGAAUGCCAUGAGCAGAAUUUUGUUGAAAGCCAAGAUUGGUAGAUUAUUGUUAUAAUUCAGAUAGAAGAAAUUUAAAUAGUUGGAAUAUUACCAAAUAAUACUCUAUUUCAGUUACUUUUUUUUUAUGUAGAAUGCCGAGAUGAUGAAUUCACUCUUCAGUCUAAACAAGAUUUAGAGGGACAUAUUAGGCAGAGAAAGAACUUCACCUAACGAUCAGCUGUUUCAUGUAUUAGCCUUGCACAUGAGGCUUUAUAGCAUUGACUCUGAGUAUAAUCCCUGGAGAAAACUCACCCAGUUAGGAGAGAUGAAUCCACA